This 1947-nucleotide long non-coding RNA is filed under the name Macaca mulatta (Rhesus monkey). RNAcentral describes it as "lncRNA (ENSMMUG00000049924.1)". Lineage: Eukaryota; Metazoa; Chordata; Mammalia; Primates; Cercopithecidae. The record is from RNAcentral.
AUGCUGGGGGUUCCUGAUAAUGUACGAUGCUGGGAGUUCCUGAUAAUGUUCACUGACUUCUUUCUUCUUUUAUCUUUUUCCUCAUCAAAAAAGGCCAGUUAUGCUAGUAAACACCAGGAAAAGAAAAUUGCUUAUAGAGUUCUUUGGCAUUGCAGGCAUAUAAAGGAAAGGGGACAUAUACACAUCUGCUACAAAGUUCUACAUUUCUUCAUCAAGGAUAUGGGACACUGUGUCUGGAGUUGGUUCCUUCCAGGGGAUUCGUGGUCUCGCUGACUUCAAGAAUGAGGCUGUGAACCUUCAUGGGAGAAAUUUGACUUCAAGAAAGGAAAUUGCCUCCAAGGAAGAACAAAAAGAAACCAGUGCCUCUCCAAAGGCUAUCACGAGGCUAGAUUGCUAACCCUCAUUAGCAAGCAAGAGACCUGGUGAGUUUGAGAUAUUGUGGCUCUUAAUGCAAUAAAUAGUAAAAUUGUGUUAUAUUAUUAUUGAGACAUCAGAAUGUCCAUUUUUUUUAAGAACCAGGCUAAAAUAAAGAGGACUAAAUUUUUUGCAAUCAGGUUUAAUCGUACAUUAAAUAUUUAAGUACCUUUAAUAUGCCAGUGCAGACACAAAUGUAAAGAAAAUAUACUUGAACUUUAAGAAUCUUCCAUGAAGCAGUAAGAAAUCUGACUAAGAACACAUAUUGUAUGAAAAUGACUGAUACUAAAAGUGUACACUGCUUGGGUGAUGGGUGCACCAAAAUUUCAGAAGUCACCACUAAAUAACUUAUUCAUGCAACCAAACAUCACCUGUUCCCUAAAAAUCUAUUGAAAGAAAAUGGAAAAAAGAUAAAAUCACUGGAUACUAGAAAAAAAGAGAGUCAACCUGAAUUCUGAUGUUUAUUCAUCCAAAGAUAGCCCUAAAUGAGUUACACCUCCCAGUCUUUGAAUCUGAGCUGGCCCUACAUUAUUAACAGACUGUGGUAGAAGUGAUGCUUCAUGACGUCUGAAGCUAAAUCAUAAGUCCUCAGCUUCUGCCUGGGUUUCUUGAAACAUUCACUUGGGGUGAAUCCAACAGCCACGUUAUAAGUAGGACUACCCCAAGAUGGUGAAUAUGUGAGGAAGCCUAAGCUAGCCACGUGGAGAGGACACAAGAAGAGAGAGCUAUGAUCGAUCUCCUCAAUCUGUUAUAACAAUCCCAGCUCAGCCUCCAGACAUGGGUGAGAAGGAGCCACUUUGGACAUUUCAUGAUGAUAAAGAUAUUGGAGACUGAGUUUCCAUUGUUAGGCUCCACCCUAAGGAAAGCACAGAGUACACUAAUCACGGUGAUAAAGACAUUGGAGACUGAUUUUUUUAUGUUUAGGUUGCACUCUAAAGCAAAUCAUGGAGGACUUAAGUAUCAUUGCAAGGGUUAGAUUUGGUUUCAGCUAACAAAGUCUGACAAUGUAAGAGUGAAUAAGACAGCAACUGGGAGGGAGUUGAGAGAAGAAUUGGUAUACAAAUAUCCUCAUUCACAAAAGUUCUGUGAUUGAAAGAUUUUAUCUGUAGUUGAUGAGGCAAAAAAAAAAUACAGGUAUGUAAAAAUCUUCAAAGAUAAAUAAUACAGGUAUUAAAGAUAUAAUUAUACUUGGACUUAAAGUGUGUACAUCUGGAAGGAUGUCAAAUAAUUAUCAACAGAUAAACUCUAAAAAUCAAUACACCAAUAAAUAACUUUGAAGGCAUAUUAUUUAGCAAUAUAGAAGAUCCAGUUAAUGUAAUUGAAAUUGGUUUUUCUUGGGAGCACAAUUAGGUGUUGGAAAAGAGGAAAUAGAUACCUUUUCAUUGUUAUAAAUUUUGUUAUUACUGUAUGUCCUUUUUAAAUGUUUUAAAACAUAUGUAUUUAUAAGUUUUGAAGCUCUUAAUUCAUUAAAAUAAUUUUAUCACAUUUUUUCAAACAUAAAUUCAGAGAUAAAUGGAAUGAGCACUUGUGUAU